CCCAAUGGCGAAUCUUGGAGGAAAAUCAAGGGCAGACUCAAAGUCAAAGGCUCAAGCCUAUUAAAGCCUGCCCAGUUCAUUCGUCACUGUUGCCGCCUCCACCUCCGACGUGCUGCGGCACUACGGGCGGUGCUACUAGGAGCUCUCCAAAGCCCGCCUCAGUGAUGUUCGUGAGUGUGGUGCGCGUGCUAUGAUGGAUGUGCGACGAAGACAAUGUGUCCGCCCGUGAACCGUGAUAGGUGGGUGGCGUCAUGAUGGGACCCAUAAGCUCGUGGGUGGAGGCGGCGUACUUGCACGUGCGACGGUGAGUGACAGAGGGAUGGCUACCGAUGCAGAGACGGCGCGGAGCAGCCGAAUGCAAAGGGUGCUGUCACGGUCGACGACAAUGACUGCAACCUGUGUGUCGGCCA
Long non-coding RNA from Triticum dicoccoides, 410 nucleotides. RefSeq lists it as uncharacterized. The transcript has 3 exons. The record is from RefSeq and is a predicted model, not a curated record. Lineage: Eukaryota; Viridiplantae; Streptophyta; Magnoliopsida; Poales; Poaceae.